Molecule: long non-coding RNA, 294 nt
Organism: Perognathus longimembris pacificus (Pacific pocket mouse)
Lineage: Eukaryota; Metazoa; Chordata; Mammalia; Rodentia; Heteromyidae
Exons: 3
Source: RefSeq, a predicted model, not a curated record
AGAGCCAUCCGCGGGCUGGCUCAGGUGGGUUGGAGUCUGUCUUUGCUGUCCGCUGUGUUCUGCAGCCCUCCUCCUGGUACCGUUGGGCGUAAGGGGCAAGGAGCAGGGUGCGGUCGGUCGCUCUGGCUGGCACAGUUCUCAGCCCUUCUGCUUGGGGCUGAGAGCAGAUUGGUCCACAGCAGGCCGGAGGUCAGAUCCUCCGCCCUUUUUCCUGCUGGCCUAGGGCAGCUUCUUCACAAACCAGCUGUGACGUGAGCAGAGUCCGUAGCCCUGGAGCAGAUUCCUCCACCUUGU